UACGAAGGGGGCUAGCGUUGUUCGGAAUAACUGGGCGUAAAGCCCACGUAGGCGGACUUGUAAGUUGGGGGUGAAAGCCCAGGGCUCAACCCUGGAACUGCCUCCGAUACUGCAAGUCUCGAGUCCGGGAGAGGCGAGUGGAAUUCCUAGUGUAGAGGUGAAAUUCGUAGUUAUUAGGAAGAACACCAGUGGCGAGGCGGCUCACUGGCCCGGUACUGACGCUGAGGUGCGAAAGAGUGGGGAGCAAACAGG
RNAcentral lists this ribosomal RNA (252 nucleotides) under uncultured bacterium. RNAcentral describes it as "partial 16S ribosomal RNA". It matches the Rfam family "Bacterial small subunit ribosomal RNA", at positions 524 to 776 of the family's 1533-position model. The record is from RNAcentral.